ACGCUCGACACCUACGGGAGGCAGCAGUGGGGGAUAUUGCACAAUGGGGGAAACCCUGAUGCAGCAACGCCGCGUGAGGGAAGAAGGUUUUCGGAUUGUAAACCUCUGUCCCCGGGGAAGAUAAUGACGGUACCCGGGGAGGAAGCUCCGGCUAACUACGUUCCAGCAGCCGCGGUAAUCUGAGCGGGCUGGCAAGGC
This 198-nucleotide ribosomal RNA is filed under the name uncultured bacterium. RNAcentral describes it as "partial 16S ribosomal RNA". It matches the Rfam family "Bacterial small subunit ribosomal RNA", at positions 328 to 539 of the family's 1533-position model. The record is from RNAcentral.